This 462-nucleotide ribosomal RNA is filed under the name uncultured bacterium. RNAcentral describes it as "partial 16S ribosomal RNA". It matches the Rfam family "Bacterial small subunit ribosomal RNA", at positions 28 to 507 of the family's 1533-position model. The record is from RNAcentral.
GAUGAACGCUGGCGGCGUGCUUAACACAUGCAAGUCGAACGGAAAGGCCCUUCGGGUUACUCGCGUGGCUAACGGGUGAGUAACAGGUUGGUGAUCGGCUCUCCACUUUGUGAUACGCCUGGAACACUGGGACUAAUACCGAAUUGGACCACGAGCUACAUGGCGGGAGGGGGCAAGAGUGAGCGGUGUGGGUUGGGCCCGCGGUCUAUCGGUUAGUGGGUCAGGAAAUGGCUUACAACGGAGACGCCGGGUAGCCGACCCGUGAGGAUGACCGGCGACAAGGGGCCUGCGGUACGGCCCAGAAUCCUACGGGCGGCAGCAGUGGGAAAUAUUGCGCAGCGGGCGCAAGCCUGUUGCAGCGACGCCGCGAGCGUGAUGCCGGCCUUCGGGUUGUAAACCUCUUUCAAAAGGGACGAAGCGCAAGUGACGGUACCUAUAGAAGAAGCACCGGCCAACUACGUG